GCAGCACCUCCAUUCAACUUUAGUGCAGCACCUCCAUUCAACUACAGUACAGCACGUCCAUUCAACUCCAGUGCAGCACCUCCAUUCAACUUUAGUGCAGCACCUCCAUUUAACUACAGUACAGCACGUCCAUUCAAUUCCAGUGCAGCACCUCCAGUUUCCCCUGCUUCGCCCCCACCCAAAGAUCUUCUGACAAUACUCACUAAUCUGGAGGUGGAGAUUUUGGCCGAGGAGUCGUCCACUGAAGCAGAGCGUGAGAAAGCACUGCGGGAGGUUGGUGCUUUGGUGGAGAGUUAUUUAAGAGAGUACUAUAAUGAUAUUGACUCUUUUGAGGUCACGAGAAUUGCGCCGGUAUCACCAUGUGAUUGAGACGGAAAUCAGCCAAGAGGAACAGACAUGAAAAAACUCUCAUCCCUACUGGACUUUUGCAGUUUUUCCUGAAAUGCUAAAACACAUUUUUUGAAACCAUCACUCAUUUUCUCAAAACCUUAAACAGAAAUACAAAUGUUUAAACUAAAUUCACAGAACCCCUGACUCUUCUGGCAAAAUCAAACAAUUGCUUCAAAAUUGUUUCUCCUGUACUCAAAAUCAAACAAAACUUUAAAAUCAUACACAUUAGUCAAUACUACACACACUACAGAUCAUUCAUUAGACACUACAAAAAACAAAAAAAAAAAAAAAAAAAAAAAAAAAAAAUACACAGUGCUCAGUGCAUGUAGAUACUAAAAAAGAAGAAUGCUUACUGUGUAUAGUAAUUAUUUUGCAAGAAAAAAGAUACAUAAACAUACACACACUCAAAGGAAAUCACACCUAAGUUUGGUGAAUAUACCAAAAAAAUAAAAAGGAAAAAUACACACACAUAUGUAUGUGUGUGUGUGUGUGUGUGUGUGUGUAUAUAUAAAGUGUGUGUGCGCAUCUCUCUCUCUCUCUGCCUAUAUAUAUAUAUAUAUAUAUAAAAUGUGUGUGUGUGUGUGUGUGUGUGCGCAUCUCUCUCUCUCUCUCUCUCUCUAUAUAUAUAUAUAUAUAUAUACACACACACUGCCCUCCAAAAGUCAAAACGCCCUAGAAAAGUGGGGUUUUGGACAAUAUUGGCAUGGAUCCUUUUUACAGUUUUUCUGAAAUGCUAAAACACAUUUUUUAAAACCAUCACUCAAAACCUUAAACACAAAUCCAAACGUUAAACAAAAUUCACAGAACCCCUGACUCUUUUGGCAAAAUCAAAUUGCUUCAAAACCAUUUCACCUGUACUCAAAAUCAAACAAAGCUUUCAAAUCACACACAUAUUAGUCAAUACUAUACACACUACAGAUGAUUCAUUAGACACUACAUAAAAAAAUAGAGAACACACUGUCCAGUGCAUGUAGUUACAAAAUAAAUAAAUAAAUAAAUAAAUAAAUAAAUGUUGACUGUAUAUAGUAAUUAUUUUUCAAUAAAAAUGAUUCAUAAACAUACACACACUCAAAAGAAAUCACGCCUAAGUUUGGUGAAUAUACCAAAAAAAAUAAAAUGACAUAUGUUACUGUAUUUUUUUAAAUAAUUACUAUAUACUGUACAGUAUAUCAUAUAUAUAUAUAUAUAUAUAUUUUCACACUCCUAUUCACACUCUUCUGUACCUCUCAGAUUGACCGAUACCUUCUGUGCACAUUGAACUGGCUUAUAUUUUGUAUAUUUAAAUAUUUAGAAACAAGUGUGAAGAACUUUUAAUUAUUAUGUGUAAACGAUGACAGCCGUGUUGCAGUUGCGCUUAACUUUUGCUUUCUUGUGUUUAGGGUUUUGUAUCACAAGUUCAUCACGAAGCAAAUUGUGUCUUAGUGAGUGAGAAUGUGUUUAGAGUUUUGCAAAAAGAGUGUGUGAGAUCUGCGAACAAUGUCUAAACUGCCUAAACUUGUUUAAGGUAUUGCAGAAAGAGUAUUUUCUUUACAAAUUGGUUUAGACUAUUGGGAAUUUGGUUUAGAGAAUGGGGUUUAGUGUUUUAGCAAAUGUGAAAACUGUAAUAUGAGAUCUCAUUAUUUAUGGUGAUGGUUCAACAGAAGUAUUCCAACUUCUGACACAAACAUUUAAAUCUUUGGUAUUUUAAUUUUAAACAUAGACGCAUUGUAUAUGUUUGAUGCAAACUAUGAAAAGUGAGAUUUGAGUUUGUUUUUUGGGGAGAUUCCUGUUUAUGCUGUAUGAUUUAUUUUUUCCCUGUCUGGAUUACUAAAUGUUUAUCAUGCAUUUCAUGAAAUAAAUAUAAAUAAUUGGACUUAA
Molecule: long non-coding RNA, 2247 nt
Organism: Labeo rohita (rohu)
Lineage: Eukaryota; Metazoa; Chordata; Actinopteri; Cypriniformes; Cyprinidae
Exons: 3
Source: RefSeq, a predicted model, not a curated record